This is a long non-coding RNA of Juglans microcarpa x Juglans regia, 463 nucleotides long. RefSeq lists it as uncharacterized. The transcript has 2 exons. The record is from RefSeq and is a predicted model, not a curated record. NCBI's taxonomy places the organism in Eukaryota, Viridiplantae, Streptophyta, Magnoliopsida, Fagales, Juglandaceae.
CCCUAUCUCUCUCUCUCCCUCCGUCCCCGAUCUGACCUCAACGCCAAGAAGCCCAUAAGUGAACAAUAUUCAAAAUCUACCGCUAAAAAUAUGCCUAAACUUCCACUCAACAUCAUGGAGAUCGCUUGUGAUAAAUUCCUGAGUUGGUGGUUGUUGUAAGAAAUCCUGCAGGACCAAAAGAAAGGGAAAAUACAACAAUUUUUCUUCUUCUUCUUCUUUUUUUUUUUUUUUGUAAUUUUUUUUAAAAGGAAGUAAUAGACACUACCAAUGGAGGGAAAACUUUCUCGGUAGCACAAUGAGGAAUAGAGAACCCUCCAUGGGUACUAGUGUCACUUGCUGUCAAUGUCUUGCAAAAGUAAUUGGUGGGCUGCUUUCUUGAAAUCCCCAAUUCCAGAGAUGGGGGGAGGGAGAUGUGCAUUCGAAGAAGGAAAGGGAGACAAUCGGGUGGAUGCGGGUUCAUUUU